GGGGUAGUGGCUCAGUGGUAGAGCGCUUGCCUAGCAAGCUGGGUUCGAUCCCCAGCUCCA
Molecule: transfer RNA, 60 nt
Filed under: Ictidomys tridecemlineatus (thirteen-lined ground squirrel)
Lineage: Eukaryota; Metazoa; Chordata; Mammalia; Rodentia; Sciuridae
Description: Spermophilus tridecemlineatus (thirteen-lined ground squirrel) tRNA
Rfam family: tRNA
About the family: Transfer RNA (tRNA) molecules are approximately 80 nucleotides in length. Their secondary structure includes four short double-helical elements and three loops (D, anti-codon, and T loops).
Source: Rfam by way of RNAcentral